GAUGAACGCUGGCGGCGUGCCUAAUACAUGCAAGUAGAACGCUGAAGGAAGGAGCUUGCUCUUUCCGGAUGAGUUGCGAACGGGUGAGUAACGCGUAGGUAACCUGCCUGGUAGCGGGGGAUAACUAUUGGAAACGAUAGCUAAUACCGCAUAACAGUAGAUGUUGCAUGACAACUAUUUGAAAGGGGCAAUUGCUCCACUACCAGAUGGACCUGCGUUGUAUUAGCUAGUUGGUGAGGUAACGGCUCACCAAGGCGACGAUACAUAGCCGACCUGAGAGGGUGAUCGGCCACACUGGGACUGAGACACGGCCCAGACUCCUACGGGAGGCAGCAGUAGGGAAUCUUCGGCAAUGGACGGAAGUCUGACCGAGCAACGCCGCGUGAGUGAAGAAGGUUUUCGGAUCGUAAGGCUCGGUUGUAAGAGAAGAACGAGUGUGAGAGUGGAAAGUUCACACUGUGACGGUAUCUUACCAGAAAGGGACGGCUAACUACGUG
Molecule: ribosomal RNA, 497 nt
Filed under: uncultured bacterium
Lineage: Bacteria
Description: partial 16S ribosomal RNA
Rfam family: Bacterial small subunit ribosomal RNA
Source: RNAcentral